CCGACUCCGGGAAAUUUUCAGGUUGCGACUCCGACUCCGACUCCGGGAAAUUUUAAGGUUGCGACUCCGACUCCGACUCCGACUCCGGGAAAUUUUAAGGUUGCGACUCCGACUCCGACUCCGACUCCGGGAAAUUUUAAGGUUGCGACUCCGACUCCGACUCCGGGAAAUUUUAAGGUUGCGACUCCGACUCCGACUCCGACUCCGGGAAAUUUUAAGGUUGCGACUCCGACUCCGACUCCGACUCCGGGAAAUUUUAAGGUUGCGACUCCGACUCCGACUCUGGGAAAUUUUAAGGUUUCGACUCCGACUCCGACUCCGA
Molecule: long non-coding RNA, 322 nt
Organism: Eriocheir sinensis (Chinese mitten crab)
Lineage: Eukaryota; Metazoa; Arthropoda; Malacostraca; Decapoda; Varunidae
Exons: 3
Source: RefSeq, a predicted model, not a curated record